This 217-nucleotide long non-coding RNA is filed under the name Diuraphis noxia (Russian wheat aphid). RNAcentral's name for it is "uncharacterized LOC107168177, transcript variant X1". Lineage: Eukaryota; Metazoa; Arthropoda; Insecta; Hemiptera; Aphididae. The record is from RNAcentral.
CAUGGUGUUUUGUGUCGUACUUGUUGACUUCCGCAGACGACGCGGCUCUCGAAUGUUGCACGUUACGUUCGCAAUAAUCCGACGAAAUUCUAGUCGUCGUUAAGAUACAUUUUGAUUGUACGAAUGGAUUUAUCGUAACGACAACACUAUCGACGUUUUUUAAUAAACAGAAGAUCAGGUUCUAGAACUCGUCUUGAUCUGGCCAUCUCGGAACAGG